This 70-nucleotide transfer RNA is filed under the name uncultured Niveibacterium sp. It matches the Rfam family "tRNA". Rfam says of the family: Transfer RNA (tRNA) molecules are approximately 80 nucleotides in length. Their secondary structure includes four short double-helical elements and three loops (D, anti-codon, and T loops). Further hydrogen bonds mediate the characteristic L-shaped molecular structure. tRNAs have two regions of fundamental functional importance: the anti-codon, which is responsible for specific mRNA codon recognition, and the 3' end, to which the tRNAs corresponding amino acid is attached (by aminoacyl-tRNA synthetases). tRNAs cope with the degeneracy of the genetic code in two manners: having more than one tRNA (with a specific anti-codon) for a particular amino acid; and 'wobble' base-pairing, i.e. permitting non-standard base-pairing at the 3rd anti-codon position. The record is from RNAcentral. Lineage: Bacteria; Pseudomonadati; Pseudomonadota; Betaproteobacteria; Rhodocyclales; Rhodocyclaceae.
CGGCAUAGCUCAGUUGGUAGAGCAGCGGUUUUGUAAACCGAAGGUCGUGGGUUCAAGUCCUACUGUCGGC